GAUGAACGCUGGCGGCGUGCCUAAUACAUGCAAGUCGAGCGAACAGACGAGGAGCUUGCUCCUCUGACGUUAGCGGCGGACGGGUGAGUAACACGUGGAUAACCUACCUAUAAGACUGGGAUAACUUCGGGAAACCGGAGCUAAUACCGGAUAAUAUAUUGAACCGCAUGGUUCAAUAGUGAAAGACGGUUUUGCUGUCACUUAUAGAUGGAUCCGCGCCGCAUUAGCUAGUUGGUAAGUUAACGGCUUACCAAGGCAACGAUGCGUAGCCGAACUGAGAGGGUGAUCGGCCACACUGGAACUGAGACACGGUCCAGACUCCUACGGGAGGCAGCAGUAGGGAAUCUUCCGCAAAGGGCGAAAGCCUGACGGAGCAACGCCGAGUGAGUGAUGACGGUCUUCGGAUCGUAAAACUCUGUUAUUAGGGAAGAACAAAUGUGUAAGUAACUAUGCACGUCUUGACGGUAACUAAUCAGAAAGCCCCGGCUAACUACGUG
RNAcentral lists this ribosomal RNA (497 nucleotides) under uncultured bacterium. Its description in RNAcentral is "partial 16S ribosomal RNA". It matches the Rfam family "Bacterial small subunit ribosomal RNA", at positions 28 to 507 of the family's 1533-position model. The record is from RNAcentral.